ACAUACACAGAUAAUUAGAGAACCCUAAUGGUCAAUUAGAAACCCUAAUUGAUGGCGUUAAGAAACCCUAAUUAGAAAAUCCUAAUUUUCUAUAGAAAACCCUAAUUUAAAUUACCGGGUUUAAUUACGAUGUUAUUGUAUAAAUGUUUUAAUUUACCAAAGGAUAGAAAUUAAUUGGUAAAUGGUAAGAAUUAUAAUCUAAUGGUUAAAUAUUACAUUUAAUUGCUAUGUACAAAAAUGCCCAUGAAAUUAUAUG
Molecule: long non-coding RNA, 256 nt
Filed under: Panax ginseng (ginseng)
Lineage: Eukaryota; Viridiplantae; Streptophyta; Magnoliopsida; Apiales; Araliaceae
Description: long non-coding RNA (PGIN_LNC009268)
Source: RNAcentral